GCAUCUUGACAGACGUUAAAACCAGCUUGCAUGCAGCCUAGUAAGAGUAAGAAAUGGCAAGAAUAUGCAAAAUAUUGUUAGGAGUUUUGUGCAGGUCCAUUUCUGGAGAAUGUAGGAGGGAACUGAAUUGGGAAAUGGACAUAAAAGAAUCCUGCAGUUACUUAAAUUUUUUUUUCAAAUGUAGGUAGUGCAUUCUGAGGUUCUUAACGGGCUUACUAGCAAUAGUUAGAUGUUUGUAGCAGUUAUCAUUCUAGAUCUCAGCUUACUUCUGAGUUCUUGAGAUGUAUCUUCUUCUCUUUACUUCUGGUCCUUUGCAAUAGAAAGAGCUACCUUUUUCUUACUCAUCUGUAGAGGAUUUUUCCCAGUGUGUUAUUUUUCUUCAUCCUGCUGUGACUCAGUUUUACAGUGACACAUUUUAUAUCUUAAUGGGAACAAAUUUUGUCCACUUAACACUUGAAACUGAAAGUGGACAGGUUUAAGUAACAGUGCAGCCCCCAGUGCUUUAGUAAUGCCUCCUGCACAUAUUUUCAGAUUUUUAUUUUCUGUUCUUUUACCAAAAAAUGUUACUUCUAAUCACGGGAACCUAUAAUGCUGAAUGUCUGCAACAUAUGCAUCAGUCAGUGCUACUGUUUAACAAUAUAGCUAAUUACUAGGCCUCACAGGAAAUGAGAGAAGGAAUGAAAGGAAGAUAGUCUUCUCCAUUUAAAAGCCUUCUGCUUUUCAGAUAGAGGGUAUAUUCUUGAACUUUUUAAUUUAAAACCUUCCUCGUUCAGGUGCUUUGGUUCUAGUCUCUUAGUUGAUGAGAAUUAACUACUUAGUAAAUCUGCAUUUGCUCCAUAUCCUUGAAAACUUGAUUUGCAGGGAAAGCUACCAGUAAAAGAUGUUGCAAAGAUCCCUCUUCAGCUGUGAAGAGUAGAUUUGUCUAGGAACUACUAAUUCGAGCACAUCAGUUGCCAGUGCAGUGGCAAACUAGAAACUACAAUGCCCUAAUCCUCUGGUAAAAGACCCAUGGAAUAC
Molecule: long non-coding RNA, 1017 nt
Organism: Strigops habroptila (Kakapo)
Lineage: Eukaryota; Metazoa; Chordata; Aves; Psittaciformes; Psittacidae
Exons: 2
Source: RefSeq, a predicted model, not a curated record